AAGUCGUAACAAGGUCUCCGUAGGUGAACCUGCGGAGGGAUCAUUAACACAAACAAAAAGACAAAGUAGACUACUGCACAUGUGCAACUAGUCGCACUUUUCUUUUGUAACCAACCCGUGAACGAAACUAUAUGCCCCUGACUGCUUAGCUGUGCGUUCAGUUCAGCUAAGUGUGUUUUUUAUACUGUAUCUAUUGUUUUAUACAAACCAUCAUACCAACAGUUGUAACGUAAGUCAUGGCUUUUAAGCUAUGUACUGAUCUAUAACCAAUAUAAAGCACAACUCUUAGCAACGGAUAUCUCGGUUCUC
RNAcentral lists this unclassified non-coding RNA (309 nucleotides) under fungal sp. RNAcentral describes it as "partial internal transcribed spacer region". The stretch from base 1 to 46 matches the Rfam family "Eukaryotic small subunit ribosomal RNA", at positions 1786 to 1831 of the family's 1831-position model. Lineage: Eukaryota; Fungi. The record is from RNAcentral.